AUGGGAUGGAGCUGGAUAAUUCUCUUACUGGUGGCAGCAGCUACAAGUGUCCACUCCCAGGUCCAGCUGCAGCAGUCUGGGGCUGAGCUUAGGAGACCUGGAGCCUCAGGGAAGUUGUCCUGCAAGGCUUCUGGCUACACCUUCACUAAUGAAUACAUGCAGUGGGUGAAGCAGAGGCUUGGACAGGACCUGGAGUGGAUUGGAUGGAUGUAUCCUGGAAAUGGUAAUCCUAAGUACAAUCAGAAGUCCCAGGGCAAGGCCACACUGACUAUAGAUAAAUCCUCCAGCACAGCCUACAUGGAGCUCAGCAGCCUGACAACUAUGGACUCUGCCGUCUAUUACUGUGCAAAAAACACAGUGUUGCAACCCACAUCCUGA
Molecule: non-coding RNA, 378 nt
Organism: Onychomys torridus (southern grasshopper mouse)
Lineage: Eukaryota; Metazoa; Chordata; Mammalia; Rodentia; Cricetidae
Source: the annotation of a RefSeq genome assembly